This 256-nucleotide ribosomal RNA is filed under the name uncultured bacterium. RNAcentral describes it as "partial 16S ribosomal RNA". It matches the Rfam family "Bacterial small subunit ribosomal RNA", at positions 793 to 1055 of the family's 1533-position model. The record is from RNAcentral.
GUCCGCACUGUAAACGAUGAUUACUCGCUGCUGGGGGCAACCUUCAGUGGCUGAGCGAAAGCGAUAAGUAAUCCACCUGGGGAGUACGCCGGCAACGGUGAAACUCAAAGGAAUUGACGGGGCCCGCACAAGCGGAGGAGCAUGUGGUUUAAUUCGAUGAUACGCGAGGAACCUUACCAGGGCUUGAAAGUUAGUGACCGGUGGUGAAAGCCACCCUUCAGCAAUGACACGAAACUAGGUGCUGCAUGGCUGUCGU